This 405-nucleotide ribosomal RNA is filed under the name Cryptosporidium hominis. RNAcentral describes it as "partial small subunit ribosomal RNA". It matches the Rfam family "Eukaryotic small subunit ribosomal RNA", at positions 605 to 1033 of the family's 1831-position model. The record is from RNAcentral. Lineage: Eukaryota; Apicomplexa; Conoidasida; Eucoccidiorida; Cryptosporidiidae.
UAAAGUUGUUGCAGUUAAAAAGCUCGUAGUUGGAUUUCUGUUAAUAAUUUAUAUAAAAUAUUUUGAUGAAUAUUUAUAUAAUAUUAACAUAAUUCAUAUUACUAUUUUUUUUUUUAGUAUAUGAAAUUUUACUUUGAGAAAAUUAGAGUGCUUAAAGCAGGCAUAUGCCUUGAAUACUCCAGCAUGGAAUAAUAUUAAAGAUUUUUAUCUUUUUUAUUGGUUCUAAGAUAAGAAUAAUGAUUAAUAGGGACAGUUGGGGGCAUUUGUAUUUAACAGUCAGAGGUGAAAUUCUUAGAUUUGUUAAAGACAAACUAAUGCGAAAGCAUUUGCCAAGGAUGUUUUCAUUAAUCAAGAACGAAAGUUAGGGGAUCGAAGACGAUCAGAUACCGUCGUAGUCUUAACCAU